This is a long non-coding RNA of Mastomys coucha (southern multimammate mouse), 2469 nucleotides long. RefSeq lists it as uncharacterized. The transcript has 2 exons. NCBI's taxonomy places the organism in Eukaryota, Metazoa, Chordata, Mammalia, Rodentia, Muridae. The record is from RefSeq and is a predicted model, not a curated record.
GACAGCCCCUGUGCCAGUGAUGAUAUGGUACUCCCCAUUAUCAUUAUAUCAGGUACCCCCAUGACUCUGGAAGGGGUUCUCUAAAGAUUUCUUACAGAUUUGGACAUUGAAGCUUAGUGAGGCCCAUCACACAGCUCAGAAGUUGCAAUGUUAGGUGUUGAACCCAACACUUCAGAUUCUAGAGUCCUGUUCUUAAAUGCUACAUUAAAGGAUCUUAUGAACGGCUGUUCCCUGUUCCAAUGCAGAACAGAGUAGAGUCCUCAAGUAAAAACUACAAAUACAUCUACACAGAGGAGGUCAGGUUCAGCUGUCCCUGAGCUUAGGCUCCACCUUCAGGACAGCGCUGUGGAGCUCCACAUGAACUUUAAACAGUACUAUGAAAGAAGGACUAUUACUACUUCCAGAUGAAGAAACUUCUGCCAGGGGAAAACACAUGGUUAGUACAUAGCAGAGCUGUCACUCAAACCCAGACCUCCAGGGCCCAAAGUCUUAGCUUCACUAAACACCAGGAUGUCAUCAAGAAGCUGUGAAACAGUAGCCCAUGAUCAUGGAAAAUGGAGCCUGACCUCGCCUGGGAAUAUUUACACAAAGGAAAUAGCAUUUACCCUGUUCUCACAGGAGAGGAGCUGACCAAAAUGACAAGAGUCGGAUGAUUUCUAUGCAGAGGGGGACGUGAUGUUCAAAGGCCAAGAGGACCAAAUUAGUAACAUAGCAAAGGCUGCACUGACUGACGCAGGAGGCCUGUGACACGGCAAGGAAGGGGUCUGAAGAGACAAACUGGCCCCAGAUCAAAGACCUUGAGUGCAGUAAGUUUAGGAAUUCGAUUUAGCCCUGGGCACAUUUGGAGCCACUGAUGGCAUUUUCAGGCAGAGGAGUAGCUUGUGGUGAAAUGAGUCAGGAAGAGGAGGAGAAAAGUGGGGUUAAAUACCAGUCAGGAGGCUGCAUGAGAGGCAGUGCUGAUGGAAGAGAGAAAAGAGCCUGAACAACAGUUUCUGGGGAUGGACAAAAAAGCAGCUGACCCAGGAGGAAAGUGAGGGACAUGAGACAGGGAGAAAAGAUCAAAAUUGUUCCCUGGCUGUUGGGUCCCAGCACUGAAGUUCCCCUGCUGGGACAGGAAACACAGCCAAGCAAGAGCUGGUUUUCAUUUUGUUUGGUUGCAGUGUGAGGAGAUACCAUAAUCAGUAGAGGUCACAGGCCACUGCAGAGUAAGGGAACCAAGGCCUACGGAGAUGUACAUCUGAAAGUCCUCAGGGUCGUCCAGGGAAGAGACCAGGCAAGGUAACACAUCCCCUCCCCCAGAUGCAGCCCCAGCACCAACUCAUCCAUGCCCAGCCUUGGUCGCUGUGCAACCACAGAAUGUGCUGCUCUCCUCAGAGUCUAAGGGCUGUGGCUCAUUACAGUUUGGACUACGUUAGCACUAAACAUCCCAUAAUUGCAGAGCUUGCCUGAUGCUCUGUCAUUAGCUCUCUGGAUCUCUGAGCCCCACCUCUCUAUUGGAUUUGCUGACUGACCCCAACAUAAAAUGUCUAGUUAACCAGGGCAGCUCUGGCUAUGAGGUGGAGGGCUCCCGCUGCUCUUGCCCACCCUAACUGUCCGUGGUUCAACCUUCCUCAGCCAUGAACUUGAAGCUGCCAUCUCUCUAUGCAUGAAAUCUGUCCUUUGCAAGUACAGACAACUGAUCUGAUUACUCACACAGAGGAGAACUGAAAAUUGAGGUCAAGGCAGAAGGCCUGGCAAUGAGUCACUUUUCUUCAUGGUGGAAAAUCACCAGUCAGGAGCCUGUAGGGGUCUCUGCUUGAAGAGCCAGAGGAACCGAGCUGGGACUGGGGCUCAGUAUUUGCCAUAUCCGUGAUGAACAGAAACCUGGACCUAAGACUAUAAAAGCCAUUCCUGCAUCUGAGAGCAGGUGAAGGGUCCCCCCAGGGCUGGGGUUCCUAGGGGUUCUGCCAUGUCCCUGAAGACAUCCUGUUUGCCAUGUUGCUCCUUUAUGCCUCAGACAGAGGCUUUCCUAGACAUCUAGAAUGAGGUGACUAAGCCCCCAGAUCUGGAUCUUCUGGAGUCUCGCAGACUGUAAACACAACUCCAGAUGCAACCACAGUCUUCCCCACACACCACACUCCCAGGCAGAUGAUGCUGUUUAGGCUGGAAUUAUGCAGGGCGGGGUUGGAGGAAGUUACAGGACUUAUCUUAAGGAACUCCAGAACCAAGCAAUUCAUUCCUAACACACUUCUCCAGAACUUCUCUAGGCCAGAGGGAAUAGAUUACUCACCUGACAAGUGAAGGAUUGCCGAUGACAGAGCACCUUUUAUUAUAUAAUCCUUUAAGGCAGUUUGGUGAUCAGAGUUGGGCAUUCUACUUUACAGAUGUAGAAACGGAGAUUUAGAGGCAUUGUGUAAUCUGUCUAAGACCCCCCCAACCCCCACCAACUGUUUUAAUAAACAUCCUGGUCACUGUGCUAAGUGCUUGACC